CGGGCUGAGACCCGGCCUGACAUUUAGUGCCUACUUGAAUGUCACAACGCUCCUCGCAGCAUUAUGCACGGCUCCUAUUCAUAAGAGGUCGAUUAGAGCACAAAAUGGCAGGUCUCUUAGGCACUUGAAUCUCACAAGUUUGACACAUGAAUCACCCCCUUCAUUGAUACCGAUCACCCAACAUCACAAGACAUCCCCAUCUCUCAGCGUGGACUCCCCCUAUCUGAUGUGCUAACAGCUGCAGAGGUGGGUAAGGAGCUGGAGCUGCCUGCGUGCUGGAGCCAUGCCAAGCAAGCAUUGCCCGUAGCGCUGCUGAGGGUCGAAUGGCUGGGACAGGAUGGAUCUCACUUCACAAAGUGGUAACCACUGUAUGAGGUAACCAGCCAUCCUCACAGAGACAGCUUACAUUCAGCUCUAAGCAUCCACUGCCAAACUGCAUUUGUGAAAAACGCAGAGAGGGUUUUGUUUUUGUUUUGUUAGUUGUUGUUUUUUUUUUCCUAGUGUAGCUAGAAGCAAAUCCUCAGAAGCUGACUGAUACACCAAACAAAACCUGUGAAACUCAGAGAUGACCGGGCCUUAUGUCCUUUAAGGCAUUAAAAUAUUCCUGACACCUUUUCCAAGCUCAUAGGCAUUUUAAAAUUUGCUACACCCUUUCCCAUCCUCUACACCCCAUCCAUGGACUAGACAAUCUAUGAUCAAAUGCAUGGGCUUGAGGCACGUCUUCUUUGUGUGAAUGAGUCCAUGUUACUUCUGCAGUCCAUACUUUGCAAGCAUUGUGAUGCUAUAAUUCAUUUCCACAAUAUGUGGCCCACUGGGUAAAAUUUCAGUUACACUAGUGAAAAUGUUGAAUAAGCCCUUGGAAGCUAAAACUAAUCACCACUUUAGAAAUCCAAAGGUGAUGAGCUUAUCUAGUUAAUAAUAAGCUUUUUAAGAAAAAGUUAUCAAUCUGUAUUUAACCAAUAGACAGGAACUGGUUCAAAAAGAGUCUUUCCAAUUCAUCAGGUAAUGAAUGCCUAUUAAAAAACUAUAAAUAAGCAUUCACCCGAGAGCUUGGAAUGGCACUUUGAGAGCCUUCCUGGUCACUCAGGUAAAUAAUGAGUUUUAUAUAACCUUUCGGCAAAGAUUUUUUGUAAAUGAGGAGACGAAAUGCAGAAAAGCUUCCAAUUAAUGUUAAGGUUGGGGUACAAGCCCACAUAACUGGGAAUUCAGAGUUAAAGCUGGCAUUAUUGUUCACUCUCAUGGUUUUCUGUAAGAGCUCAAUGUUGUCUUUACUCUGACUCGUUUGUGAUGAUUUCAAUUUAAAAUUUUAUUUAUAUAUGAUGUUUAAGCUGAUGACUAUUUUGUACAUUAUCUGCUCACACAGCAAACACUGAAGUGAAUAAGCACUGUAGAGAAGGGCAGGACAUCGGCCCCCAACCAAUGUGCAGCCAACAGUGAAAAUGACUGCAGUACUCUCUCACCACAGCGCCCAUCAAAUCUGCAAGCACUGUGCUUGCUCGAAUCUUAAGAGAAAAAGACCAAGAAAAAAAAUCCGGUAUCUCAUUCUGUCGAUAUUUACUACUGUCCUGUAAAGUAACUCUUAUCAAAUAUUUUGAGCUAUCUUGAUGACUAAGAAAAAAUAUACCCAUAAAGAGGCCCAUCAAUUAUCUUAAAAUCAAAUAAGCUGGCAACCAGGAUAUAUGACAAAAUUAAGUGUAAGCCCUUUCCUGGAUAACUGUACAGUCUUCUAUAGAGAAUUGUUCAUCAGCUGUCCUCAACACCUAACACCUUUGGUUGAGAAGACUAAUACAGGUUUCACACCCUGAAGUUAACAAACUUCAUUUGUUAUGUUCUCAGAGAAGAAAAUUGUACUACAGGCUCAAGGAUCGAAAAGGAAAACUUCUCCCAUCUAUAACCAUGGCAGUGUUUUGCAAUAAGAGAGACAUUUGAAAAGGCUAAAAUGCAAACCAAGAGAGGAAAAAAUAUAUAGUGUUUGGAUUCAAUAGAGAUCUUUCCUGACCUCUGUGAUUCUAAAGAAAUAUAUCCUUCCAAUUGUUCCAUAUUGUGUUACAACAUAUUUUUUGCAUUUAUUAAUAAUUCAAACAUGUUGUUGUUGAAAAAAAUUAUUCACAUCAUGUGUUCAUAGUUUCCAUAUACAUAUGUCAAAUUUUAUUUUGUUUUACCAUUAUAAUCUAUGAAUGGAUUUACCCUUUGUUUCUGUUUUCAAAUCUCUGAGGAAUGUUUGAUUAGGUAGGAGGGUUUGUUUUAUGCAUUACUUGUUCAUCAUUGCACAAGUGCACAGGCUAAACAAAGUUGGCAUACUUCAUACUGAUUGGUGGAAACCACAUAGUUAAACAGUGUAGUUAAUACAGGGGAAUGAGUAAUUUCUCACCACAGCUAAUCAGCUGCACAAUAGCUAUGUAUCAGACACUGCAGCUAUAUAUAAAAAAUGCUUUUUAAGGUCGCUUGCAGCGUACGUGAUUAUCUGAUAGUAUCUGUUACAAUCAUUUCAUAUUAACAUACUUCUGUAUUUAAUAAAAAUAAUGUUGUGUGCAGCAGUCUGUAUACAUAACUGUCCAGGAUACCAGGGACUAUCAAGUAAAUUGCAAACACAGGAAUGUUCUAGCUGAUACACAGUGGAAAAUACGUCCAGGUUCAUCCAACUUGACCGUGUCAGGUGUAAAAGAAAAGCAAGAGCUCUGAGGAUGACAGAACAGUUAAUGCUUCACUGAAGAACUUAAAUCAGUUGCACAAUUCUAUAACUAUCACUCCAUACAGCUGUAACUAAGAAAUAAUAAGAUAAAUACCUUGUAUUAUUAUUUAGCAUCUGUCUUCUGCAUUAAUGCUUUUCCGUCCCUUUGUAAUGAGCUGGACGUUAUUAUGACUUCCAUUCCCCAAGAACAUAUCUUUAGCAGUUCAGAAUGUGUCUCUCCAUUAGAAAACGAAGUUGAGUUCAGUAGGAGUUAACAUUAACAAUUCAAGAGCCUGUAGAAGAAAUUAGAAACAUGAGUCCUCCAUAAUGAUGAUAAAAUCAAACUGGCAAAUAAAUGUAUUCUCAAGUUUCAUAGUAAGAAAAUGGAUGAAUAUAUGCAACUAAAAUGGUCUCUUAAAUUUCAAGUGCAAGGCCAGGAUUCUCAAGAACUUGCUCCUACACAGAAGAAGCUGAAUUAGAAAUCUAUUGAGUAAUCUUACUAGCGCCUAUCUGCACAUGUAAAGCAAACUUCAUGAAGUCCACAAUUUCACCCUACCAGACUAAUCCAAAGACCACUGGGAUCUACUUCUCUGAAUUUGAUGAGUUUGGGAUCAAGCCUUUUGAAGAUAAGGAAUGAGCUGGAAACAAAACGAUGCCAUAAAUCAGAAUGAGUGGUAAAGAAUUAAGCAGUUCAAAAUACAGCUUUCUGUUGUACUCUAUACCAGGGUUAUAACAUAAAACAAAACAACACAACUAUUGAUGUAUAAAUAGUACAGAGAAAGAUACAUAAAUAUUUGUGCUAUUAAGGAAUUAGUGAAAUCGCAGAGCUUCACUUUCUUAAAAAAUACAGGCUCUAUUUUGAUAUCCACAUUUAAGGAAACACUUUGGUUCUGAUAAAACUAAGUGGAUAAUUAAAAAUUAUAAUAUUAAUUGUACUCUUAACACAGAUAAGUAAA
This is a long non-coding RNA of Tympanuchus pallidicinctus (lesser prairie-chicken), 3627 nucleotides long. RefSeq lists it as uncharacterized. The record is from RefSeq and is a predicted model, not a curated record. Lineage: Eukaryota; Metazoa; Chordata; Aves; Galliformes; Phasianidae. The transcript is spliced from 3 exons.